This 1426-nucleotide ribosomal RNA is filed under the name Salmonella enterica. Its description in RNAcentral is "partial 23S ribosomal RNA". It matches the Rfam family "Bacterial large subunit ribosomal RNA", at positions 1525 to 2925 of the family's 2925-position model. The record is from RNAcentral. RNAcentral also lists the same sequence under 1 other name. Lineage: Bacteria; Pseudomonadati; Pseudomonadota; Gammaproteobacteria; Enterobacterales; Enterobacteriaceae.
GUGUGUUCCAGGUAAAUCCGGUUCACUUUAACACUGAGGCGUGACGACGAGGCACUACGGUGCUGAAGCAACAAAUGCCCUGCUUCCAGGAAAAGCCUCUAAGCAUCAGGUAACAUCAAAUCGUACCCCAAACCGACACAGGUGGUCAGGUAGAGAAUACCAAGGCGCUUGAGAGAACUCGGGUGAAGGAACUAGGCAAAAUGGUGCCGUAACUUCGGGAGAAGGCACGCUGACACGUAGGUGAAGUGAUUUACUCAUGGAGCUGAAGUCAGUCGAAGAUACCAGCUGGCUGCAACUGUUUAUUAAAAACACAGCACUGUGCAAACACGAAAGUGGACGUAUACGGUGUGACGCCUGCCCGGUGCCGGAAGGUUAAUUGAUGGGGUCAGCGCAAGCGAAGCUCCUGAUCGAAGCCCCGGUAAACGGCGGCCGUAACUAUAACGGUCCUAAGGUAGCGAAAUUCCUUGUCGGGUAAGUUCCGACCUGCACGAAUGGCGUAAUGAUGGCCAGGCUGUCUCCACCCGAGACUCAGUGAAAUUGAACUCGCUGUGAAGAUGCAGUGUACCCGCGGCAAGACGGAAAGACCCCGUGAACCUUUACUAUAGCUUGACACUGAACAUUGAGCCUUGAUGUGUAGGAUAGGUGGGAGGCUUUGAAGUGUGGACGCCAGUCUGCAUGGAGCCGACCUUGAAAUACCACCCUUUAAUGUUUGAUGUUCUAACGUGGACCCGUUACCCGGGUUGCGGACAGUGUCUGGUGGGUAGUUUGACUGGGGCGGUCUCCUCCUAAAGAGUAACGGAGGAGCACGAAGGUUGGCUAAUCCUGGUCGGACAUCAGGAGGUUAGUGCAAUGGCAUAAGCCAGCUUGACUGCGAGCGUGACGGCGCGAGCAGGUGCGAAAGCAGGUCAUAGUGAUCCGGUGGUUCUGAAUGGAAGGGCCAUCGCUCAACGGAUAAAAGGUACUCCGGGGAUAACAGGCUGAUACCGCCCAAGAGUUCAUAUCGACGGCGGUGUUUGGCACCUCGAUGUCGGCUCAUCACAUCCUGGGGCUGAAGUAGGUCCCAAGGGUAUGGCUGUUCGCCAUUUAAAGUGGUACGCGAGCUGGGUUUAGAACGUCGUGAGACAGUUCGGUCCCUAUCUGCCGUGGGCGCUGGAGAACUGAGGGGGGCUGCUCCUAGUACGAGAGGACCGGAGUGGACGCAUCACUGGUGUUCGGGUUGUCAUGCCAAUGGCACUGCCCGGUAGCUAAAUGCGGAAGAGAUAAGUGCUGAAAGCAUCUAAGCACGAAACUUGCCCCGAGAUGAGUUCUCCCUGAGACUUAAAGUCUCCUGAAGGAACGUUGAAGACGACGACGUUGAUAGGCCGGGUGUGUAAGCGCAGCGAUGCGUUGAGCUAACCGGUACUAAUGAACCGUGAGGCUUAACCUU